CAGGCUACACAUGCAGUCGAGCGGUAGCACAGAGAGCUUGCUCUCGGGUGACGAGCGGCGGACGGGUGAGUAAUGUCUGGGAAACUGCCUGAUGGAGGGGGAUAACUACUGGAAACGGUAGCUAAUACCGCAUAACGUCGCAAGACCAAAGUGGGGGACCUUCGGGCCUCAUGCCAUCAGAUGUGCCCAGAUGGGAUUAGCUGGUAGGUGGGGUAACGGCUCACCUAGGCGACGAUCCCUAGCUGGUCUGAGAGGAUGACCAGCCACACUGGAACUGAGACACGGUCCAGACUCCUACGGGAGGCAGCAGUGGGGAAUAUUGCACAAUGGGCGCAAGCCUGAUGCAGCCAUGCCGCGUGUGUGAAGAAGGCCUUCGGGUUGUAAAGCACUUUCAGCGGGGAGGAAGGCGGUGAGGUUAAUAACCUCAUCGAUUGACGUUACCCGCAGAAGAAGCACCGGCUAACUCCGUGCCAGCAGCCGCGGUAAUACGGAGGGUGCAAGCGUUAAUCGGAAUUACUGGGCGUAAAGCGCACGCAGGCGGUCUGUCAAGUCGGAUGUGAAAUCCCCGGGCUCAACCUGGGAACUGCAUUCGAAACUGGCAGGCUAGAGUCUUGUAGAGGGGGGUAGAAUUCCAGGUGUAGCGGUGAAAUGCGUAGAGAUCUGGAGGAAUACCGGUGGCGAAUGCGGCACUCCUGGACAAAGACUGACGCUCUAGGUGC
Molecule: ribosomal RNA, 719 nt
Filed under: Klebsiella pneumoniae
Lineage: Bacteria; Pseudomonadati; Pseudomonadota; Gammaproteobacteria; Enterobacterales; Enterobacteriaceae
Description: bacterial SSU rRNA
Rfam family: Bacterial small subunit ribosomal RNA
Source: RNAcentral